RNAcentral lists this ribosomal RNA (248 nucleotides) under uncultured bacterium. RNAcentral describes it as "partial 16S ribosomal RNA". It matches the Rfam family "Bacterial small subunit ribosomal RNA", at positions 85 to 334 of the family's 1533-position model. The record is from RNAcentral.
UAGAUGGCGACCGGCGCACGGGUGAGUAACACGUAUCCAACCUGCCGAUAACUCGGGGAUAGCCUUUCGAAAGAAAGAUUAAUACCCGAUAGCAUAAUGAUUCCGCAUGGUUUCAUUAUUAAAGGAUUCCGGUAAAGGAUGGGGAUGCGUUCCAUUAGGUUGUUGGUGAGGUAACGGCUCACCAAGCCUUCGAUGGAUAGGGGUUCUGAGAGGAAGGUCCCCCACAUUGGAACUGAGACACGGUCCAA